AGAGUUUGAUCCUGGCUCAGGACGAACGCUGGCGGCGUGCCUAAUACAUGCAAGUCGAACGCUUCUUUUUCCACCGGAGCUUGCUCCACCGGAAAAAGAGGAGUGGCGAACGGGUGAGUAACACGUGGGUAACCUGCCCAUCAGAAGGGGAUAACACUUGGAAACAGGUGCUAAUACCGUAUAACAAUCGAAACCGCAUGGUUUUGAUUUGAAAGGCGCUUUCGGGUGUCGCUGAUGGAUGGACCCGCGGUGCAUUAGCUAGUUGGUGAGGUAACGGCUCACCAAGGCGACGAUGCAUAGCCGACCUGAGAGGGUGAUCGGCCACAUUGGGACUGAGACACGGCCCAAACUCCUACGGGAGGCAGCAGUAGGGAAUCUUCGGCAAUGGACGAAAGUCUGACCGAGCAACGCCGCGUGAGUGAAGAAGGUUUUCGGAUCGUAAAACUCUGUUGUUAGAGAAGAACAAGGAUGAGAGUAACUGUUCAUCCCUUGACGGUAUCUAACCAGAAAGCCACGGCUAACUACGUGCCAGCAGCCGCGGUAAUACGUAGGUGGCAAGCGUUGUCCGGAUUUAUUGGGCGUAAAGCGAGCGCAGGCGGUUUCUUAAGUCUGAUGUGAAAGCCCCCGGCUCAACCGGGGAGGGUCAUUGGAAACUGGGAGACUUGAGUGCAGAAGAGGAGAGUGGAAUUCCAUGUGUAGCGGUGAAAUGCGUAGAUAUAUGGAGGAACACCAGUGGCGAAGGCGGCUCUCUGGUCUGUAACUGACGCUGAGGCUCGAAAGCGUGGGGAGCAAACAGGAUUAGAUACCCUGGUAGUCCACGCCGUAAACGAUGAGUGCUAAGUGUUGGAGGGUUUCCGCCCUUCAGUGCUGCAGCUAACGCAUUAAGCACUCCGCCUGGGGAGUACGACCGCAAGGUUGAAACUCAAAGGAAUUGACGGGGGCCCGCACAAGCGGUGGAGCAUGUGGUUUAAUUCGAAGCAACGCGAAGAACCUUACCAGGUCUUGACAUCCUUUGACCACUCUAGAGAUAGAGCUUCCCCUUCGGGGGCAAAGUGACAGGUGGUGCAUGGUUGUCGUCAGCUCGUGUCGUGAGAUGUUGGGUUAAGUCCCGCAACGAGCGCAACCCUUAUUGUUAGUUGCCAUCAUUUAGUUGGGCACUCUAGCAAGACUGCCGGUGACAAACCGGAGGAAGGUGGGGAUGACGUCAAAUCAUCAUGCCCCUUAUGACCUGGGCUACACACGUGCUACAAUGGGAAGUACAACGAGUCGCAAAGUCGCGAGGCUAAGCUAAUCUCUUAAAGCUUCUCUCAGUUCGGAUUGUAGGCUGCAACUCGCCUACAUGAAGCCGGAAUCGCUAGUAAUCGCGGAUCAGCACGCCGCGGUGAAUACGUUCCCGGGCCUUGCACUCACCGCCCGUCAA
RNAcentral lists this ribosomal RNA (1420 nucleotides) under uncultured bacterium. RNAcentral describes it as "bacterial SSU rRNA". It matches the Rfam family "Bacterial small subunit ribosomal RNA". The record is from RNAcentral.